This is an RNA transcript of Oncorhynchus kisutch (coho salmon), 3575 nucleotides long. RefSeq lists it as uncharacterized. The record is from RefSeq and is a predicted model, not a curated record. Lineage: Eukaryota; Metazoa; Chordata; Actinopteri; Salmoniformes; Salmonidae. The transcript has 3 exons.
GUAAAUUGCAUUGGCUAUCUGAUGUAGUACAAAAUGUAAUGUAUCAGCCUUUGAGCAUAUUCAAAUUAAUGAGCAUGUAAAGCGAUCAAAAGGACAUGUAGAUAUUUAGAAUACUAAAAUUACAACGCUUGACCGAUUUGCCAAGUUAAGACAGGAAUUAUCAUGCUUUGCUUGUUCGUUUUAAAGUUCCCAGACCUCAGUGAAAGUCCACCUGGGAAUGACAGAGGACAGAAUCAUCAAAAGUGUCCAGGAGCAACUGUCUGAUCAUAAUAUCCUGUCCUCUUGCCCACCUGAGCUGACUGUUGGUCUUAUCAAGGUGGUGGUCGAACAGCUUAACUCUGCCCUCUCUGCGACCAUCAGCAGAGCCAUUUCAGGGCGGUCCUCCCCUAUUUCUUCUGGUACCCAGGCCGCUGAACAAAUGGUCAACAUGGUCCAGAAAUGUUUUGAUGAUCACACCACCCCAGAGGACCAGAGCUCUACCUCUGUAUUAGAGUCAUGCAUUCCACCUGCAACAGAAGAAGUGAUGACUGUUAUCGCAGAGAUGGUGGGUGAAUUGGAAAAAGAAGAUCCGGAAUUGGCUAAGGUUUUUCGAGAAGUGGCUGUGAAAGUUAAAAUGUUGGCAUCUGGCAGUGACCUUGUAGUGGAGCACCUGGAUGUUGAAGACUCUCCUGUUCCAGAGGAGCUGAACAUAAUAUGUACAUCUUGCAAAGCAAUGAUGCAAAAUCUUGGCACUCUGUUUAGUGUGAAGUUCAAGACCAAAGCCUCAAAGGCUGUGAGUGAAAUUCUUGUGAGCAGGUUAAUGAGCGAUAUCUCUGGUAUGGUUCAACCUUCUCAUUCGUUUAGUACCACUCCAAGCUUGAUGAAUGCAUCUAGCCCAUCUGACAGGAUCCUUGAUUCUGCGGCCACUGAGCUCAUACAGAUCAAAGUAGAAUCUGAGACAUCAAAAAUAAUUGAUAACUUUGUUGAAGAUGUCAAGGACAUUGUGCAGUAUGCUGAAUUAGAUCAGCCAACAAGCACCCAGAGAGAUACCCAAGUGGGACACUGUACGACAAAGCGGAAACCCUUCCGUGCAGCUCGUAGACUCUGCGAGAGACUUCAGGCAAAGCUGGAGACAUUGUUCCUCAGAAUGGGUGGAGCUCCAGUCCAAGGGGAAGAACUUAUGGAAAAAGCUGACUCCAGUGCUGUGCUUCUGGAGCAUACUGACUCCAGUGAUCUGCCUGUUUCAAUCCUGAGCUUGCCUUCCCCAUGUAGGAGUGAAUCCCCUAUAUCAGAACGUAGUUCAUCUUCUUUAUCUGAUGGAUGUGAUUCAACUGACUCUGUAGGAGAGAAAACACCAGAGCAACCUGAAACCAGUAAGAGUGAGGCAAUACUACAAGUGGUCAACUCAACAGAACUUGGUUCUCUCCGUAAAUGCCAAAGUGAGAACUCUCCACCAUUACUGUCUCUCUGUGAUUCCAACAUGGUCCCCUGCACCAAAGAGGUCUUGUUCCAGAUUGUGACCAUGUAUAGGUCAGAGGUGGCAGAUUUGGAAUGCACAUCAUCUGUUGCAGAGGGUUCCUCUUCCAACUCCCUUGAAGUCUGUGGCUUUUUGGACAGUGUCAUGUCUUAUCUAGAAGACAUGCCUGUGUCUGGUUCUUCAUGGUUGGAAGGAUUGAGAGAUACUCCAGCCUCAGUCAUUGAGAAACUCUCCAGUGAGGAGUUCCAGAUGAACGCUACCAACGAAGGGCGAAAAAUACUGAUCAAAUCAGUCAGUAGCUUUCCCAGCAAAGUCAGUUCCAGCCAGACAGAUUCUCAGAUGUUGCCAGCAAAAUCAACAAAGCAGUGAAUGUGGUGAGGAACUGAUCUAUCAAGCGCCACAGCGUUCUUCCUCCUCGUUGUCAUCCUCAUCUGCCAGAUCAAAGAAGUCAGAGUGGGAAUUUUCACUCCCUGGCACUCCCAUCUCUUCUGAUUUACCAGAGUGUAUUACUCAGCCCAUUGUGAGAUGCUCAGUCAUCGACAUGGGCAAAUCUACUAAGCCAAAAACAUUGGUGUGUGAUGCCAGGGAAAGCAUGUCUGCAAUAGUGGAUACCAUCAUAAAGGAGGUACAUCCAGAGGAAGAAGGGGAGGUUGCAUUCCACCCUGAUCUAACAGCUGCAAUAGCAAGACUGGAGGAGCUCAUAUCUCAGGGUAGGAUUGGUGCUCUCUCACGUGAUCUUACUCACCAAGUCAACCGCAUCAUUUCUGAGAGCAACUUGACCCCUCUGGUUCUGACAGUGGCGGCUGGAAAGAGUGCAUCCGAUACAGUCCUUACUGAGCUGAAGAGGAAUGACAAGACGGUGGGGAAGCCCACAGCUUACAUGCUGGUUCAGCUUUUUGCAGAGGAGUCUGUGAAGCGCCUCGUGCUUCCUAGCCUUGUGCCCUCUACAGCUUCAAUGAGUUUGGCUCAGGGAGUUAGUGUGCCGGCUAGCGUAUCUGAAGAUAGGAUUUCAUGUUCUUUUUCUACAUCAGCAUUUAGUGACACAGUCAGCCUGUUUACCAAAGUAAUGGUAAGCCAGGUCAUGGACUCUGUGGUUUCUGAUGCACAAAGCAGAGGGUCAUCUCCAACCGGAACUGUAACUGAUAUAGGCAGUCUACUGAGUGGUAAGUCCUACCCUCUGCCAUCUUUCUCCGCCAUCAGCAUGACAACAAGUGGGACCUCCAAUGCUGCACGAGGCUUUGAGGCCAACAUAGAUGCUGAGGAAAGGGAUACCAUCAGUUGUUUCGGUGUACCUCAGAGCAUUGUUUGUGAUCAGAAUUCAACCAGCCCGGAUGUUGCCUCGCUUUCAACCCCAUCCACUGACAACUUAGUCGGUGAUGAUGACUUCACCGGCCUCAUCAGCAUGUUAGUGGUGAGACUUCUGUCAAAAAUCCAAACCCAAACUGAUCUGUACCCAACUGACGUCACACGCACGUCACAAGACCUGAUUCCAAAAGUUAUAGCUGCCUUCUGUGCAUGGUCAGGCUGCUCUGAGACCCAAGCUUAUCCCAAGAACCUGAAGAGUCACAAAGUAUACAGCACCGUCUACAAACAUCUGUUGAAGGAGUUUGGCUCAGAGAAAAUACUCCAACUGGCCGUGUCGACUCAGGACUCCACAUUCAAUAGGAUUCUUGUGAAGUCAUUGAGCAAGGAGCUUCUCCACAGUUGUAACGAGGCAUCAAGAGCAGCCUCAAGAACAUCUUUCGAAGCCACCAGGCCAGAAGCUCUUCUCAUGGCUGAAGAUGUGAAGGCUACCAGAGGGAAGCUGUCUUUCCUACAAAGGCUUGCCAGACUGAAAUUCGACUUAAAGCCAUUCAUGAUGGGAAACAAGAAGGAUUCCAAGAAGAAUUCCCGCCAUUCUGAAUCCAAAGACCAGACUACUGCUGAAGAUAUCAUAUUGGCACAUCCUGGACUCCCAGAGGGUCUUCCCUCCACCUCUCAACAGGAGAAGCCUCGCAAACGUCCCCUUCUAAUCAGGAUGUUUUCCACCAUCUCCAUAGGCCUAUCCAAGCCAUUCAAACGGUUUUCAAAGCAAGCUUAAUACAACAAUUUCCUUUAAUACAGUAAUAUUUGCAUUGAA